This is a non-coding RNA of Trichonephila clavata, 72 nucleotides long. The record is from the annotation of a GenBank genome assembly. NCBI's taxonomy places the organism in Eukaryota, Metazoa, Arthropoda, Arachnida, Araneae, Nephilidae.
GUCCCUGUUGUGGAAUGGAUAGCACGUGGAUUGCUAAUCCAAAAGUCGUGGGUUCGAAUCCCACCAGGGAUG